This 1366-nucleotide long non-coding RNA is filed under the name Papio anubis (olive baboon). Its description in RNAcentral is "lncRNA (ENSPANG00000040209.1)". The record is from RNAcentral. Lineage: Eukaryota; Metazoa; Chordata; Mammalia; Primates; Cercopithecidae.
GGUGGCAGUUCCAGGAAUUGGCUCUGCAGCAGGAAUGCUCUGCCACGCCCAAGCCAUUUAGCCUCUCUCAUCUGUAAAAUAACAAUAGGAAUAUUACUUAACACAUGAGAUAUUAAAUGAGAUACUACAUGUAAGGGACUUAGAACAAUGCCAGGCAGAGAGCAGGUACUCAAUACAUUUUAGCUGUAAUUGUUAUUAUUCAAAAUGAAUAUAUAGAUAUAGAACUAAACACACACAAACACAUGCACACACAAGUGAAAGUGAAACUAGAAAAAUCAGAAUAUGAUGGGUUGGUUGUAGCAAUUGUCAAUGUACUGCUUGUGAUAGUAUGCAAAAACGUUAACACUGGGGGAAACUAAGUACAUGUAGGAUCUAUGUAUUCUUUCUUUCUUUCUUUUUUUUUUUUUUUCAGAGACAGGAUCUCACUCUGUUGCCUAGGCUGGAGAGCAGUAGUACAAUCAUAGCCCACUGCAGCCUUGAACUCCUGGGUUUAAGUGAUCCUCCUGCCUCAACCUCCCAAGUAGCUGGGACUACAGGCGUGUGCCACCACACUUCCUCACUUUUAAAUUUUUAUUUUCAUAGAGACAAGGUCUCUCUCUCUUUUAGUUUUUACCAUAGAACUUGGAGUUUUAUUACAUUUUCUUUCAUUGCUGAGAACUCCCUGGGGCUUGAGAUAUGACUGUGGAUCACACAACUCAUAAGAUCAGAAGCCUGACCCAGGCUCUCUAAUUCUAAGGCCAGUGCAAUUUCUGUUAACCAAGCUUAUCCCAGAGAAACAAAAACUGGCUGAAAGAUGGAAAAUAUGGUCCAGAUGAAGGUCUGUUCAAUCAAAUAGUAUGUUACACACAUUACAAUGUAUUCACAGGCUGGGGGGCUUUCUCAAGAAUAGAGUCCAGAAAAUUAGUCUGCGGAAGGCAGUUUGGGGUUUGGUCUCUAUCACUUAAGGGAAGAGGUAAAAACAUGUGUUGAGUGCUUGCUCUAAGGAUGGUGUUAGCGUAAGCUAUUUCUGUAUAGGUGAUUAUUGUUAUUCACAGUAGUUAAAUUUUAUAAAGUUGCUGUGAACCCUGAAAUAGCAAAUACUGAACCAUUGCUCCUAGGGGAAAUACAGGGUUAGGUUCCUGCAAGCCUCUGGUCACAGCAUUGUUGUUAAUUGGUCAAUACAUAGCCAUGUUUUAUGUGUGUUUCUGUUUAAGGACAGAAAUCAAUAUAUAUUGUUAAUUCAUUACAUUGAACUUUUGGCCAACGGCACUAUGGCUUCAUGCCUGAACUUAGCUUAUCUAACAUGCACAUUUUCUCUAGAAGGCAUGUCACAGCCUUCUUGCACUUAGGAACACUAGAUAGCACUUCAGCACUAUGUUUGUGGAGG